GAUUUCUGGUCUGACAUGCCUGGCCCGCCGGGGUUACCCGCGUGAGUGCCGGUGCGCGUCUACCAUCCUUCCGGAAAACGGCCUUACCCUUCACUGGGCCGAGGUCGCGAUCCGGAUCUUUUACUUUGAAAAAAUUAGAGUGUUUAAAGCAGGCUUGCGCUAUGAAUACAUUAGCAUGGAAUAAUAAUUUAGGACUUUGGUCUUAUUUUGUUGGUUUCUAGGACUAAAGUAAUGAUUGAUAGGGACAGUUGGGGGUGCUAGUAUUCAGCGGCCAGAGGUGAAAUUCUUGGAUUCGCUGAAGACUAACUUAUGCGAAAGCAUU
This 322-nucleotide ribosomal RNA is filed under the name uncultured Nudifilidae. RNAcentral describes it as "SSU rRNA". The stretch from base 105 to 322 matches the Rfam family "Eukaryotic small subunit ribosomal RNA", at positions 736 to 955 of the family's 1831-position model. Lineage: Eukaryota; Cercozoa; Imbricatea. The record is from RNAcentral.